This 1272-nucleotide long non-coding RNA is filed under the name Panax ginseng (ginseng). RNAcentral describes it as "long non-coding RNA (PGIN_LNC006422)". Lineage: Eukaryota; Viridiplantae; Streptophyta; Magnoliopsida; Apiales; Araliaceae. The record is from RNAcentral.
UUAAUUUUAUAAUUCUUAACGGAAGAAGUAUAUUUUUUGCAUUAACUAGAGAUUCCUUUCACAUAAAGGAGGCCAAUAAUAAAUAAAGAAUGUUAAGUUAUCCAUGUUAUAAAAUUAUAACAUAUAUAUUUAUGGAUGUCUAGAUUUAUAUUUAAUUAUAAUGAUCUUUGGUAUUUUGGAACUCCCAAGUUCAUUAAGUAACUCCAAUGUUCAUUAAGUUUUAAACUCAUGACUUUUGAGUUUUGAAACUUUCAAGUCCUUAUAUCUAUAAAUAAGAGCAUUGUAAAAGAGAAUGGUGGAUAUAUGAAUGAGAUAUGAAAAUAUUAUGAGACAUGCCUCUUUUCUCUAAUCAUUUAUUCUUAAUUUUAGUAAUUUUUUAUAACACGUUAUCAGCACGAAUUAAUUGCUCUUUAUUUUUGUCUUGUAGUAGAUAAUCAUAUUUGGUUUGUUGAUAAGAAGAAGAAAAAAAUAAUGGAACUUGAACUUUUAGCUUCCCUUGAGUAGUUGAGAAUGGACUCAGUUUUCAUGGUGAUUUAGCAGCAACAGUGUAAGUAUGGUUCAUACUACUUGUCUUAUUAUUUGAUUUUAAAUUUCUGUAUGGAAAUGAUAUUUUUGUUUCUGAAAUUUAUCCCAUAUCACUUUAUUUUAAUCUAUAUAUACAUCAUUUCCUGAGAUACUUAUUAUCAGGUUUCUAUUUGAUCUUGUGAUUAACACAAAUGUCAGGUUUCUGGUAGCCACUCUUCUCAUUAAACUUUAAAAAAUUGGUGCACCGCAAUAUUAACAUCAAUGCUAGCUGGUAGUUGACGAGGAUCAAAGUUAUAGUAAUUGGGCAUAUGUGAUUGACUUCCCUAUCAUACCCAUUACAUUGAGAAGAAAGUGGUAGAAAAUUUUGGAACUCAAAUGUUGAUUUUUAUUUUUUUAGGACCGUUUAAAAAUGUGGCAUUCAGUUCAGAGAGGUUUAACACAUACUGUACGUCCUGUCGUUGACUGAUAUACGUAUAAAUUGUAUUUUCUGCUCAUCUUCUUUAUUUUAUGUCAAAGUCUAAUAUACAUACGUAUACAAUAUUUUUGAUAGAAAAAUUAUGUUUCUGCUCCUAGAGUUAAUUAGUUUGUUUGCAGCAUAUAUAUGGUGUUUAGUCAAAUCAACAUAACGCUGAAAAUAAUGUUAUAGAUAUCCAAUUAUAUACGUAUAAUAUACAUAUACGUAUUGUUUCAUUACAAUUAAAUUUGAUAUACAUAUAAUCAUUUUGUUUAACAAAAGACGCGUGAGAC